Peromyscus eremicus (cactus mouse) is the source of this 1270-nucleotide long non-coding RNA. RefSeq lists it as uncharacterized. The transcript is spliced from 2 exons. The record is from RefSeq and is a predicted model, not a curated record. Lineage: Eukaryota; Metazoa; Chordata; Mammalia; Rodentia; Cricetidae.
GCGCCGCCAGCCCGAGGAACCGCCACCAGGAGGGGGAGGAGGAUCCUUACACCCCAGGCCUCUAGCUCUGCCAGCCAGGGAACCUGCGGUGGCUUCCUCUACUUCCUCCAGCUUCCUAGCCUGGUCUGAGAGUCCAGCUCUGGGCUGGGGAGGAGGAAGUCGCGGCCCAGAGGGGACAGCAACAGGUGGGAAGCUCAGCCGCCACGCCGCUGACUAAUUGCAGCCUGGCCUUGGGCAAAAAGCUUCCUAGUGGGUCUCUGGGACCCACACUUUCCAGUUUCUUUCCAGGGUGGAAGCCGGCUCUACACGUUCCUGUAAGGGCCUGAGAGGUGUCAAUGCCUGAGAAAGAUGCCUGCGUCAGGGAGGGAAUGACUGAUCACUGGGGUGCGUCUCCCUCUGUCCCUUCUCCUGCAUAUAGACCUUGGAAACCACAGCGCAUUCAACUGCAGCUCGCGGAUAAUCCGCUAAUUAAACAGCGAAAAUGUCCCGGGACCUGUACUCAGUAACCAGCAAGAUUUAGAUGGGCACAAGUACAGCAAUGGCUUGUCUGACCAGGCUGUUUUCUCCGCCUGAAUGAUGGUGAAUUACUUACAGAAAGUGCCUGGACUUCUCUAGCGGGUGUGGGGGGAAGGGAGGGAGCCGCUGGUUCCUCUCGCCUUGUCCGCCCUCCAUCUCUCUCUUCACCACCGCCCGGCACGCUCUGCUCAUGUAAAAUCAGAACAAUUAGAGAGUAAUGAAUUCUCUGGAACAGUACCUACAGACUCUCAGCUCUGCCCUCGCACCAGCGCCUCCCAGCCCUCCUUCCCAGCAACCAGGCAAGAGUAUAGCGGACCCUCAAAAACCAGCUUCGGCUUUAACCGUGCCUGCAUCCUGACAGUUUAGAAACGAAUUCUUUAGUGAGUGUGUAAAGUGAGUGCACGGUCUCUCUGAAUAUGAGCGUUGGUAUCCUAGCGAAGCUUUGUUCUUAAAAGAUCAGCGUUUAGGAGUCUAUCUUCCGCGGAGUUUGCAGUCCGGCUUAAUGACUAUGCUUCAGGAGCUCCAAAGCAACUCGCAUACCUUUUAUUUAAACCCCUAAAGAUUGCGUUGAGUCACCAAACUACUCGACAAAGCAUUUCGCAUUCCUGGUUGUACAAGCAGGUGUGGUGUGAAUAUCUCAGGCUGGAACCAUCCUGUGCAGAAUUUCUGGAUUCUAAUCUCUACUGGGCUGAUACAUUAUAUAACCAAGAUUGUUAAAAAUAUAUGGUGAAUAAAGCAAAUAUGAUCUAACAAA